RNAcentral lists this long non-coding RNA (328 nucleotides) under Ananas comosus (pineapple). Its description in RNAcentral is "long non-coding RNA (ACOM_LNC044768)". Lineage: Eukaryota; Viridiplantae; Streptophyta; Magnoliopsida; Poales; Bromeliaceae. The record is from RNAcentral.
UAUAUAUAUAUAUAUAUAUAUAUAUAUAUAUAUAUAUAUAUAUAUAUAGAGUCCGGUUACUAUGCUAUUAAUAGCACGAAGUAUUUGGUGCUACCAAGUUUUCCACCGUUAGAUCUACCCUUUUGAUCAUUUUCACCCGUUAGAUCAUACUAUUCAACCAACCACCAACUCAACCCUUGGGGACCCACAUCAUCCUAACCGUACAUCUUUUAAUCCAAUGACCAAAAACUUGAUAGCACCAAUAAUUUGGUGCUAUUAAUAGUAUAGUAGCCUAGUUAUAUAUAUAUAUAUAUAUAGAGGUGGUGUUUAAUUUGAUAGUGUCUAAUUU